CUACGGGUCGCUGCAGUGGGGAAUAUUGGACAAUGGGGGAAACCCUGAUCCAGCAAUGCCGCGUGUGUGAAGAAGGCCUGCGGGUUGUAAAGCACUUUCGGUUGGGAGGGCUGCUUCUAGCACUAAUAUUGUUGGAAGUUGACGUUACCUUCAGAAGAAGCACCGGCUAGCUCCGUGCCAGCAGCCGCGGUAAUACGGAGGGUGCAAGCGUUAAUCGGAAUUACUGGGCGUAAAGCGCGCGUAGGCGGCUAGAUCAGUCGGGUGUGAAAGCCCCGGGCUUAACCUGGGAACUGCAUCCGAUACUGUCUAGCUUGAGUACAGGAGAGGAGAGUGGAAUUCCACAUGUAGCGGUGAAAUGCGUAGAUAUGUGGAGGAACACCAAUGGCGAAGGCAGCUCUCUGGCCUGAUACUGACGCUGAGGUGCGAAGGCGUGGGGAGCAAACAGGAUUAGAUACCCCAGUAGUC
This 465-nucleotide ribosomal RNA is filed under the name uncultured bacterium. RNAcentral describes it as "partial 16S ribosomal RNA". It matches the Rfam family "Bacterial small subunit ribosomal RNA", at positions 339 to 795 of the family's 1533-position model. The record is from RNAcentral.